Mytilus californianus (California mussel) is the source of this 329-nucleotide long non-coding RNA. RefSeq lists it as uncharacterized. Lineage: Eukaryota; Metazoa; Mollusca; Bivalvia; Mytilida; Mytilidae. The transcript has 3 exons. The record is from RefSeq and is a predicted model, not a curated record.
UAUAUUUGAUAAAAGCAUACUAGAAAUAUAACAAUAAGUCGACCACUGACGAGAUUUCUUAUUUUGGAAAGAGACAUAAGCAUGUGGAAGAAGAGUACAGGUCUGCAUGCCAGAACGAUGAAUCGACGGAAUGGUGCCGUAACGUUCGAAUAAAUGAGUUCGGUGGUGUCACGGCUCUCAUGUGCUACGACUUACAAUAUGCUUCCAAAUGCUGUGCGUUUUGUCAUACUGAGAUGAUGCUCGUUAUGGAUGGGAAAUAACUUCAUAGAAGGUUGUGAUGAUUGGUUACAAAACAGGAGAGUAUAUAUAAAAUAAAAACAUAAACAGAU